RNAcentral lists this ribosomal RNA (330 nucleotides) under uncultured bacterium. RNAcentral describes it as "bacterial SSU rRNA". It matches the Rfam family "Bacterial small subunit ribosomal RNA", at positions 568 to 898 of the family's 1533-position model. The record is from RNAcentral.
UCCGUAGGCGGUGCGGCAAGUCGGAAGUGAAAUCUCAGGGCUUAACCCUGAGGCUGCUUCCGAAACUGCCGUGCUCGAGUGCGAGAGAGGCAAGUGGAAUUGCAGGUGUAGCGGUGAAAUGCGUAGAUAUCUGCAGGAACAUCCGAGGCGAAAGCGGCUCGCUGGAUCGCAACUGACGCUGAGGGACGAAAGCUAGGGGAGCAAACAGGAUUAGAUACCCUGGUAGUCCUAGCCCUAAACGAUCAGGACUGGGCGUGGGCCUCGUACGGGGCUCGUGCCGCAGCUAACGCGUUAAGUCCUGCGCCUGGGGAGUACGGUCGCAAGGCUGAA